GGAUGGGGUCUACCCAGUACUGGGCCUUGUCUUAGGUGCUAGAUAUGUGUCCUGCAUAUGAUCUUCAAACCCAACUUUGGUGACUAGCAAGGGGAACUGUGAUAUAAGGAAAUGUAGAGUAGCUAAGAUGGCCAUGUUCUGGCAAAGGCACAAGAGCAGUGCGUGGUGGGCUUCUCUCCAGAGACUGGCCUGGCCCAAGGAACUCAGAGAAGACAGGCUUGGGUAGAGGUCAGGGACUUCAGGCCCAGGUUGGUUAGGACCACUCAUUAUGGAGCUGGGUACAGCACUGGGUAGGCACUGGGUAGGCCUGAGCUGUCCCUAACUAACCUCAUAAGGGCCUAUCGAGGCCUCAAAGGAAACUGGCUGUAUCAUGUGCUGACUCUAUGACCCUGACUGUAUCAUUGUGACCACGCCCUUUCCAGCUUAAGUCCUCACCUGUAAAAGUGGCUGCACAAGGAAAGAGAAACACAGACAAACACAGACAGACAGACAGACAGACACAGGGGAAGGAGAGAGCGAGAGCAAGAGAGAGAGAGAGAGAGAGAGAACACAGAGUUUGAUCCAAGGUGGACCUCUGCUAAGGACGUGGUCUGUAUGUUUGUAUGUUUAGGAUUACAGGAAUGGUCAUUAUGCUAAGUCACAGGCUCUCAGCUUUGAAAGGGCACGGGAUAGUCCUCAACACAGGGUAUUGAUCCUCUAGCAAGGCUGAGCAUCCACACAGAAGUGAUCCCCCUCUUCUCUUUCUCCUCCUCUCCUCCUCCAGGUUAGCAUAAAGCCUAGCACAAGAUGUGGGUGGAACCGAGCAGCAACCACUCUGGGCUGGUCCUCUGUGAGUUUCUGGAGGAAUUGUCCAGAGGAGAGCGCGAAGACUUCUAUCACUCUGGUAUUAUCCAAAGCCGUGAGCAAAACAGGGUCCUGAGACCUCUGAAGGAGAAGUCUGAGAUCUAAUCAGAUAGCCUGAAAAGACCACCCAUUGUUCCUGAGGCCCGCCUGCCCGCUGAAGACAGGACGGGCUCUCCCAUUUGCUCUCUGCCAGCGACAGCGGUUCAUUGAAACUUCUACUGGAAACUGAGGAAAGGGAUUGAAGUGGCCCUGAGACAAAACAAGGUUCUUGGAGGUGCCGAGGGCUAUAGACAGGCAGAGAACGCAAGCAAGCUCUCCAGACUGCCUGUCAGCUUUCCAUGGUGGCAUCGGUAACAUUUGUCAACAUGCUUGUUGUUUCUCCGGCAUGAUGUGUGUCUGUGUAGAAAGGACCAGGGAGCGUCUUAUCCAUGGAAGUUAAAAUGGAUGGGGUUAGUCUGCAUCUCUGUAGUUCUCUGCAGGGAGGUGUGCAGGAAGACCCCAGCCUCCUCGACCCAGAGACAUCAGAGCUCUGCCAAGGGUUCAGAGGCUGCAAACAGGUAAGUACUCAAGCAGUUGGGGGAGCAACAAGAAGCCAGUUUGUGCUAAGGUCUGUGAAUGUCCAAAACCACAUAGAUACACACACUGGGUACUUGUCCUUCUGGAAGCGGACUCCUGGGCUUCCUUCCUGCCUCACUGCUUCUGGAUGAAGCAUGUAAGGUUACAAAUCGCCGUCUCUUUCUUCCUUGGCAUAAUGGAUGGGUAAGAGGGUGCACGUGUUCAUGCAUUCAUAGCGGCAGGGAGAGUUGGGGAUAGCAAUUCGAGAGAGCCAGAGAAAGGCUGGGUACAAUCAUGCCAGGUCAUGGCCUUCAGGAAUGCCCUUGGGGUGCUUCAUGUCACUCCAGUGAAACUUGUGCCAACCAGAUGUCAUGCACAGCUAUAAUCCUAGUACUCCGGAGGCCGAGGCAAGAAAAGAAUCCUCAGCUUAAGAUCAUCCUGAGUUACAUAGUAAGUAUUAGAGCAGCCAGGGCUAGUGAGACCCUGUCGGCCAAUACCUGUGCAUUUGAGGGAAGAAGGAAAAGGGACAGCCAGGAUAGAGAGCCUCACUCACUGUCCCUUCUUCCCUGGCUCUAUCAGCCUGCUUUGUGUUGAGUCCUCCGGGUUUUGGAGUGCUUCUUAGUGGAUUUUCAGGCUUCCUUGGGCUCUCCAAAGAGGACCCUAGCCCUGAAAAAAAAAAAAAAGGGCAAACAGGUCUCUAUGCAGAUUAUGGCUUUGUAAGCCUUGAAUCUUGCACUCAGAGGUCAGCCUCCUUGGAAGGGUACUUCCCUCCCUCCCCCACCCAAAUCAACCUUUGUUCCCAUUUGGGAGCAGUAACUGGUAUAAGGCUGCCCUGGGGCAUCCAAAUAAAACCUGAAAAAUGCUGGCCCCGCCCAGUAGUGCAGAACUCUACUGAAAGGUAAUUAUAGGCCCUGGGAUGGUGAGCUCUACCCACAGUUCAGCGCUUACUGGGCCCUGGGCCAAGGGCUGUAUGGAGCUCUCCCCACCCUGUUCCAUUCUGUUCUAGGCCUUUAGGAUUCAAGCCUCCAAAGUCCUCAGCUUUGAUGCCUUCUAUCAGUCCAUAUGCCCCCUGAUCUUAUCAGGGAUCCCCUGGGGGUCUGGAGGAACUCUAGACUCUGAAGAAGGUGUGAAGAAUUUGAGUUUCAAAUCCCUAUUAAAAACAGUAAUUCCAGCUUCCACAGAGUGCCCAGUACAGGACAAGCUCUAGCCUAACCCCUGCCAUUGAGAUGUCAUUCACCCACAACUGGCCCACAAAACCCUUAUGUCGUCAGUACUGUUGUUAUAGGAGAGACGGAGAUCCAGGAAGUCUAAAUAACACACCCAUUGUCACACAGCUGAGAGGCAGUCAGAGUGGGCCUCACAUCCCAACCUGUGCUGAGUUUCAGACCAGGGUUCCCAGCCACUGGGCUAGCUUGACCCUGUGCCACAGGACCAGAAGUGAGCAGGCAACUGUGCAGGAUGGAGUAAGACAGUGAGUGGCCCAACAGUGUCCACAGCUGAGGGGAGAGAUGGCAUUUUUACCCUAGAGGAGUACACCUUUCCGGUUAUGGCCUGAGGGGGUAUCGUGAGUUAGUGUCUGGAGGAGGUGACAGAGAGGUAGAGACAAUGGUGGCUACUUGUUUUGCUUCCGUAUUGCCUGCCCUCUCAGCCAUACCACCUCUCUUUAACUGCCCAGGGUUCAGGAGGCUCCCACAUGUUUGUCUCCUGCAAGAGUGUAUAUCCAGGAUGCUUUUGUGAUAGGAUGCCUGGGUCUGAUAGGUACAGAGGCUUAGGCCCUACCUCCUCUGGCACAGGACCUACUCUCUGGACCUCUGCCAUGAUUUAUCUCUGGAAUUUGCCUUGAAAUACUCCUGGUCCCCACUGAUGAGCAAGGACCAAGCGGUGACUGCCCUUGUCCCUGGGCUCAGGAUGUCGGUGCAAGCUGCUAGAAAAUUCUUAUGAGCAUCUAUUAAUAACUGACUCCUUGCUGUGUGACAUUGACUUCCAUUCUCUUAUUCCUGAUUCCCUUCCCGGCUCUUAGUAAUGCUAUAGUAAAAAAGACCCUGUGUUCAUACUUCUCUCUGCACUAAGUGGUAUCUCCAAAUGACCUCUGCACUGACCUUGUUACUAAUAAACAAGGGACACAGAACUCUUACUGAGCACCUACUAUGUGCUGACCGCUGCUGAGUGAAGGGAGGGAGAAAGGAGUAUAAAUGUCUAGGUGGCUACCAUGCUGAUUGAUCAUUGCAUUUCAUGCCAAUCCUUCAGGAAUACAGCUCACCAUCCUUCUUGCAUAGCUCCAUAUGCCACUGGUAGCCAGGUAGAGUUCUCGUGAAAGUAGGGACCUAUUUACCCUCCUCCCUUCUGCACCCCACCUCCUACCAAGAAUUGAGGCCAGACUCCAGCCAGGGCUUCUUGUGUAAUGCUGUCCUUGUCCUGUGCCACCUCACAGUGUCCGUGCCCUGAUUUCUGUCCUCAUUCUCACUGCCUGACCCAGGAUGGGGAAAGGCGGGCAGGAUCAUCUGUCUUCCUGUCUCAGGUUCCUGUAAGGCUAUGAAGCCUAGUCGGGGACAUGGCCCCAGAGUGGCACAGUAAGUACCUUUAGACAACUGUGUCAGAACAUUUUCAUGGCCCUGUCUUCAGCCCUGGCCCUCAGCUGAUGUAAGUCUUCACAAAGCUGCUUUGGAGCCUAAAGAUUGCAGAGUUGUGGUCCAGCCUCCGGAACACUACAGCUCACUCUGCUCGCUCCCAGGAAAAGACUAGAGCUGCCUUCUCCCUUGCCUGAUUCAGCCAUUCAAACAUGUGGAUCAGAACUCACUGUUUACUUGAGCCUGGAGGUAGGGAAACAGGGAGAAGAGGGGGCGGG
This is a long non-coding RNA of Mus musculus (house mouse), 4243 nucleotides long. RefSeq annotates it as predicted gene, 53839. NCBI's taxonomy places the organism in Eukaryota, Metazoa, Chordata, Mammalia, Rodentia, Muridae. The record is from RefSeq and is a predicted model, not a curated record. The transcript is spliced from 3 exons.